CGUAACGACAGCUCACACAUGCAGUCGAACGAUGAAGCCCAGCUUGCUGGGUGGAUUAGUGGCGAACGGGUGAGUAACACGUGAGUAACCUGCCCUUAACUCUGGGAUAAGCCUGGGAAACUGGGUCUAAUACCGGAUAGGAGCGCCUACCGCAUGGUGGGUGUUGGAAAGAUUUAUCGGUUUUGGAUGGACUCGCGGCCUAUCAGCUUGUUGGUGAGGUAAUGGCUCACCAAGGCGACGACGGGUAGCCGGCCUGAGAGGGUGACCGGCCACACUGGGACUGAGACACGGCCCAGACUCCUACGGGAGGCAGCAGUGGGGAAUAUUGCACAAUGGGCGAAAGCCUGAUGCAGCGACGCCGCGUGAGGGAUGACGGCCUUCGGGUUGUAAACCUCUUUCAGUAGGGAAGAAGCGAAAGUGACGGUACCUGCAGAAGAAGCACCGGCUAACUACGUGCCAGCAGCCGCGGUAAUACGUAGGGUGCGAGCGUUAUCCGGAAUUAUUGGGCGUAAAGAGCUCGUAGGCGGUUUGUCGCGUCUGUCGUGAAAGUCCGGGGCUUAACCCCGGAUCUGCGGUGGGUACGGGCAGACUAGAGUGCAGUAGGGGAGACUGGAAUUCCUGGUGUAGCGGUGGAAUGCGCAGAUAUCAGGAGGAACACCGAUGGCGAAGGCAGGUCUCUGGGCUGUAACUGACGCUGAGGAGCGAAAGCAUGGGGAGCGAACAGGAUUAGAUACCCUGGUAGUCCAUGCCGUAAACGUUGGGGCACUAUGUGUGGGGACCAUUCCACGGUUUUCCCGCGCCCGCAGCUAACGCAUUAGUGCCCCGCCCUGGGGAGUACGGCCCGGCAUGGCUAGAACUCAAUGGUAUGAACCGGGGGUCCGCACCAAGCCGGGGUCGGGGAGUGCAAUCCCUGGCCGGGUUGGGGGUAUCGGGGGCAGGCGGAGCAUGCGGAUUAAUUCGAUGCAACGCGAAGAACCUUACCAAGGCUUGACAUGUUCUCGAUCGCCGUAGAGAUACGGUUUCCCCUUUGGGGCGGGUUCACAGGUGGUGCAUGGUUGUCGUCAGCUCGUGUCGUGAGAUGUUGGGUUAAGUCCCGCAAGAGCGCAACCCCGUUCCAUGUUGCCAGCACGUCGUGGUGGGGACUCAUGGGAGACUGCCGGGGUCAACUCGGAGGAAGGUGAGGACGACGUCAAAUCAUCAUGCCCCUUAUGUCUUGGGCUUCACGCAUGCUACAAUGGCCGGUACAAUGGGUUGCGAUACUGUGAGGUGGAGCUAAUCCCAAAAAGCCGGUCUCAGUUCGGAUUGGGGUCUGCAACUCGACCCCAUGAAGUCGGAGUCGCUAGUAAUCGCAGAUCAGCAACGCUGCGGUGAAUACGUUCCCGGGCCUUGUACACACCGCCCGUCAAGUCACGAAAGUUGGUAACACCCGAAGCCGGUGGCCUAACCCUUGUGGGGGGAGCCGUCGAAGGUGGGACCAGCGAUUGGGACUAAGUCUAGAAGUAGUCG
This 1506-nucleotide ribosomal RNA is filed under the name Micrococcus luteus. Its description in RNAcentral is "bacterial SSU rRNA". It matches the Rfam family "Bacterial small subunit ribosomal RNA". The record is from RNAcentral. Lineage: Bacteria; Bacillati; Actinomycetota; Actinomycetes; Micrococcales; Micrococcaceae.